UUCCUGGAGGAUUAGUGGUUAGGCCUCGGUGAUCUCUGUUCCACGGCCCGGGUUCGAUUCCCGGCCAGGGAA
This 72-nucleotide transfer RNA is filed under the name Pangasianodon hypophthalmus (striped catfish). RNAcentral's name for it is "tRNA-Arg". Lineage: Eukaryota; Metazoa; Chordata; Actinopteri; Siluriformes; Pangasiidae. The record is from RNAcentral.